AUUCCAGCUCCAAUAGCGUAUAUUAAAGUUGUUGCAGUUAAAAAGCUCGUAGUUGGAUUUUGGGUCGGGGGCACCGGUCCGCCGUUCCGGUGUGCACUGGUGGCCCCUUCCUUUCUGCCGGGGACGUGCGUCGCACUUAAUUGGGUGGCGUUCGGAGUCGGCGUUGUUACUUUGAGAAAAUUAGAGUGUUCAAAGCAAGCCAUCGCUCUGAAUACAUUAGCAUGGAAUAACAUGAUAGGACUCCGGUCUUAUUUUGUUGGUUUCCGAGACUGGAGUAAUGAUUAAGAGGGACAGUCGGGGACAUCCGUAUUUCAUUGUCAGAGGUGAAAUUCUUGGAUUUAUGAAAGACGAACUUCUGCGAAAGCAUUUGCCAAGGAUGUUUUCAUUG
This 388-nucleotide ribosomal RNA is filed under the name Prasinoderma sp. Its description in RNAcentral is "partial small subunit ribosomal RNA". It matches the Rfam family "Eukaryotic small subunit ribosomal RNA", at positions 582 to 975 of the family's 1831-position model. Lineage: Eukaryota; Viridiplantae; Prasinodermophyta; Prasinodermophyceae; Prasinodermales; Prasinodermaceae. The record is from RNAcentral.